UCGCUUCAAGAUUCCUUACCCCUCGGAUCUAAAUGUUGGUCUGAGUGGCUAACAAAGAAGGCAAAGCAGGACUGACGUGGACUUGGAAUCUCCAGUGACUUAUAAGUCCAUUUCAAACAUUA
This 122-nucleotide small nucleolar RNA is filed under the name Echinops telfairi (small Madagascar hedgehog). RNAcentral describes it as "Small nucleolar RNA SNORA61 (ENSETEG00000026814.1)". The record is from RNAcentral. Lineage: Eukaryota; Metazoa; Chordata; Mammalia; Afrosoricida; Tenrecidae.